Molecule: ribosomal RNA, 527 nt
Filed under: Pichia sporocuriosa
Lineage: Eukaryota; Fungi; Ascomycota; Pichiomycetes; Pichiales; Pichiaceae
Description: partial large subunit ribosomal RNA
Source: RNAcentral
AUUUGAAAUCGUGUUUCGGCACGAGUUGUAAAUUGCAGGUUGGAGUCUUUGUGGAAGUGCGUGUCCAAGUCCCUUGGAACAGGGCGCCAKUGAGGGUGAGAGCCCCGUGGGAUGCGCAUUGAAGCUGUAAGGCCCUUCUGACGAGUCGAGUUGUUUGGGAAUGCAGCUCUAAGCGGGUGGUAAAUUCCAUCUAAGGCUAAAUAUUGGCGAGAGACCGAUAGCGAACAAGUACUGUGAAGGAAAGAUGAAAAGCACUUUGAAAAGAGAGUGAAACAGCACGUGAAAUUGUUGAAAGGGAAGGGUAUUGGGUCCGACAUGGGGACUGCGCAUCGUUGCUUCUUGUAGGCGGCGCUCUGUGCUCUCUCUGGGCCAGCAUCGGUUUUUGCCGCAGGAUAAGGGGCGUUGGAACGUGGCUCCUCGGAGURUUAUAGCCAACGCCAGAUGCUGCGAGCGGGGACCGAGGGCUGCGACAUUUGUCUCGGAUGCUGGCAUAACGGCUCAAUACCGCCCGUCUUGAAACACGGACC